UGAGGAAUAUUGGUCAAUGGCCGGGAGGCUGAACCAGCCAAGCCGCGUGAAGGAAGACGGCCCUACGGGUUGUAAACUUCUUUUGUCGGGGAACAAAAGGGAGGACGAGUCCUCCCCUGCGGGUACCCGAAGAAAAAUGCAUCGGCUAACUCCGUGCCAGCAGCCGCGGUAAUACGGAGGAUGCGAGCGUUAUCCGGAUUUAUUGGGUUUAAAGGGUGCGUAGGCGGUCUGUUAAGUCAGCGGUAAAAGACCGGGGCUCAACCCCGGCAAGCCGUUGAAACUGGCGGACUAGAGACGGAGAGAAGUAAGCGGAAUGCGCAGUGUAGCGGUGAAAUGCAUAGAUAUUGCGCAGAACUCCGAUUGCGAAGGCAGCUUACCGGCUCCGGACUGACGCUGAGGCACGAAAGCGUGGGGAUCAAACAGGAUUAGAUACC
RNAcentral lists this ribosomal RNA (434 nucleotides) under uncultured bacterium. RNAcentral describes it as "bacterial SSU rRNA". It matches the Rfam family "Bacterial small subunit ribosomal RNA", at positions 355 to 786 of the family's 1533-position model. The record is from RNAcentral.